Molecule: unclassified non-coding RNA, 1907 nt
Filed under: Hevea brasiliensis (rubber tree)
Lineage: Eukaryota; Viridiplantae; Streptophyta; Magnoliopsida; Malpighiales; Euphorbiaceae
Source: RNAcentral
UUUUUUUAUAAAUAAUUUAUUCUAAACAAAACCUUUAAGAUUCCUUCAAUUUUGAUACUCAUGUCAAAAAAAAAAAAAUUAUCCCUUCCAUCUGCUAGUCUCCACCAAAGAGUUCAAUAUAACUAGCAAAGAAGCUGAUACGAGCUGGUCAUUGCAUUCAAGGGUUCCAAAUGCAGAAUUCAGGAGAAAAAAAUGAACUUCUAGGGAAAGGCAACAAAACAAGUUUUCAGAAUUGAGAUUGGAAAGGGAAUCUUCAAUUCAAUGGUUGCCAUUAUUUCAAUUUAGUAAUACAUGCCCAGUGGAAAUACCACCAAAAUCUAAACUAAAAGAGAACCUUCCAUCACAGUAACAGCUUUCCCUCGCAGCAGCACUCUAUCAUUCUGCACAUCCAAAUGAAUGCUCAAUUUUCCACUUCUACGUGAUGCCGCAUAUGCCAUAAAAUCACACUUCCCCAGCUUUUUACUCCAAUAGGGUGCUAAGGCACAAUGUGCACUCCCACAAACAGGAUCCUGAAGAGUGCAAACACGUAAUGUCUUUGUCACCACAUAACGAACCAUAUUUAUCUUUGUCAAGUCUUCCAAAUAUUCUUGAGAACUUGGCGACAAGACAAAGUUAGUGCUUUGUGUCAGGAACUUGUUUGAGUGUUUCAUUGAGUUAGGAAAACCUUUCCAUUUUAAUGGAAGGCAUUGAAAUAACUGAUGCCAAAAAAUAACUAUAUAUGUUACCUCAUUGACUCUGAAUUUCGGGCAGAAGAAACGACUAUAAAAAUCAAAACCAGACUCUGGUGGAGCAACUCCAGAAACAAUAAUCCCCCUUCCGGGACAUUUUAGAACCUCAUCAAAACGUGGCUGCAAUUCUUCAACAGCUUUACCAGAUGGCAGCACAACCUACAAUAAUAUGACAACCUUUUGCCAUAGAAAACUUCAAAACAUACAGAUAUAAAGGAGGGGAUAAGGUAAGAGGAUAAGACUUGAGAGAUAUUAUUACAAAAAGGUCAUCUGCAGCAGUAGUCCUCUUGAUAUCAAUUAUGGUAGCGCCAUUCAGAGCUCUAGAAACAAAGGCAACAUCAGCAGAACUGAAUUCUGCUAAUGGGACAGUCGGGAAAUUUAAUUCAAUAACAAAGCUCUCUUCUGCUUCACCAUUUUGAGUAGCAGUAAAGAUAUCAGGAGUCUUCUUAGCUGUUAGAAUCCCAGAAAGCGUCUCAAACUCAAUUAUGCUGGAAUUCACCAACCCAUUACUAAACAGAGCAUGUGAAGCCGCCAAUGUUACAUGACCACAAAGCUUGACCUCAGCCACAGGAGUGAACCACCUGAGAGGGAACCUGGGAUUUGAAGAAACAUCAUCGGACUGGGUGACUACAGUCAAGAAUCCGGUAGUGGGGAUGUUGAACUCGGCGGCCACAGCUUGCAUCCAUUUCUCAUCUCUCUCGUCCUCUAACAUACAUACCACUCCAGGAUUUCCCUUGAAAGCCGAGUCGGCAAACGCGUCCACCUGCUCAAAACUCAUAGCCGAUUCAUACCAACACAGAAGCAGUUGUAAAUAUGAAUGUGUUUAGAGAAAGUACCAAAAAGUAUCUGACGAACGUUUUUUCCAUUUUCUACCCACCGAAAAAGAGAUGAAUUUGGGUACAGAUAACUGUAGGCGAGAAAAAGACAAGUCGCAGAGAUAAAAUCGUAUAAAACAGAUAAACAGAACAUCCUCAUAUCUUUCUUUUGGAUUUUUGUUUUUUUUAAUUUUUUGGAAAAAUGCCUGUCAAUAAUUUGAAAUAAAAUAAUGAUAUUUCUUUUUUUAUAAUUUCCCCUCAGUUACUAUUCUUAAGGUUUAUCAUAAUUUUCUUUUUAUUUUUAUACCUAUAAAUUAAAUUUAUUCUGGUGCGAAUGAUUUAAAACAAAAAAUUUUAAUUUAAU